Long non-coding RNA from Saccostrea cuccullata (small rock oyster), 622 nucleotides. RefSeq lists it as uncharacterized. The record is from RefSeq and is a predicted model, not a curated record. NCBI's taxonomy places the organism in Eukaryota, Metazoa, Mollusca, Bivalvia, Ostreida, Ostreidae. The transcript has 4 exons.
UUUCUGCUAAUUUUUGCAAUUGUUUAGUGAAUUUGUAUUUAAUUUUGCAUCUGUUUUAAUUUUGAACUAAUUUGUUUGUCAGUUGUGUAUUUUCAGGGGUUCAGAGGAGGACAGAAGAGGAGCUUGGCUGGCCUACAGAAGAAGAGGAUUCCAUUGCCCAGCUAUGAGUAGAAAGCAACAUUGGUCAGAUAGGGAGAUGCCUGGAUCCCAAUGUUAGGAACAACUUGCUUGUUUUUCAGGAGAGGGGUGGGGAGGAGGGUGGGGAAUUGACUGUGGACAAGCAGAGAAGAAAAGAAGGCAGCGAGAAUGAUCUGCAGCUCCAGGUGUGGAUGAGAGCUGCCUUCCAUUACACUGCAAGCAUCGCUGGAAGAUGCGGAUGCAGAAGAAAAGGAGCCAUCCCAAGGUGCAGAAGAGGACCCAGUUCACCAGCCGGAGAGCCUGAUAGCUAAGCUUUUUGAUUUAUCCCUCUGUCUCUCUUUCUGUCCCCUCCUUACUCUAACAGACUAACCAUCUCCAUUCCCAACCUCUACUCUCUCCUGUGUUAUGCCCCUUUCUCAAAGUAUGUGUCUCCUUUUGCUAUCUUUUUUCUCGAGUAAUUUGUCUUUUUUUUUUUUGGCUGAGG